CAUUAAUCUUUCACCUGCAAUGAAACUAAUUUGAGCAAACGUUGAUAGAUUAUUUUCAUAUGUGGAUGUUUUCAUGACCAUAGUGGAGACAUUCAACUCUUCACUAUUCCCUGCUUCUAUCUUUAGUUUACUUUAUUGUCACGUGUACUGAGGUACAGUGAAACUACAGCACGCCCGUUUCUUUUACCCUUUCUGGGUAAAGAGUGUUCCUUUCAAAUACUCUUUGCUAAUCACGAACGCGGUAAGUUACCAAUGCUCUGUACUGAAGGGUCUGUCACAGAAGACACCAUUCAGUGACAGUGCUGUAAUUGCAAACCUUUCCAUGAUACCAGUAAAUGUUCCCAGUCUUUCCUGUUUUAAUAGACAAUAGGUGCUGGAGUAGGCCAUUCUGCCCUUCGAGCCAUUCAAUGUGAUCAUGGCUGUUCAUCCCCAAUCAGUACCCCAUUCCUGCCUUCUCCCCAUAUCCCCUGACUCCGCUAUCUUUAAGAGCCCUAUCUAGCUCUCUCUUGAAAGUAUCAAGAGAACCUGCCUCCACCGCCCUGAGGCAGAGAAUUCCACAGAUUAAAAUGAGCCCCGGUCCUGGAGUUACAUUCAUCACUGGUGAUGAGUUUAACCCAUAUCUUGUGUUUAAGAUAUUUGCUGUUUUAUACCAAUGCUCAGAACCCAAAGGAAUACUUUAAUUAUAAAAAAGAUGAAUUGAUAAUGUAAAUACAUAUUAUUCAAUGUCUUCCCCUUGUAUUCAAGGGGAAUACCACUCUAAACUUCUACGCUUCAUUUAUUUAAGUUACUUGUGCACUUUAAAAGCACAUUGAUACCAUAAAGGAACAAUAUUUUAAGGGCUUGUUAUCAGAAUACAGUUCAGCACACGAACAUGCCGACAGCGUCAGUGCCUGCACGUGAUCGAUAUCCCUCGAUAACCAUGUGCCUGUCUGAAAGCCUCGUAAACGGCACUGUGGUAUCUGCCUCCACCUCCAACCCUGGCAGCGCGUUCCAGAUACCCUCCGUUCUCUAUGUUUAAAACUAUAUCUUGCUCCACACAUCUCCUGUAAACUUUUCUCUCUUCGCACCUUAAAUCUAUUACCGCUAGAAUUUGACAUUUCCGCUCUGGGUAAAAAGAUUCUGACUACCCUAUCUGCCUCUCACAAUCUUACAUACUUCUUUUUGAAGGCACACAAAAAUGCUGGAGAAACUCAGUGGGUGCAGCAGCAUCUAUGGAGCGAAGGAGAUGGGUAACGUUUCGGGCCGAAACCCUUCUUCAGACUGGUCUUGAAUACUUCUUUUUGAUCUCCUUUCAACUUCCGAUGCUCCAGAGAAAACAGUUGACAUUUGUCCAGAUUUCUGCCCUCUAAUCCAGGUAGCACCAGGGCAAACCUCUCAAGUCUCCACGUCCUUCCUAUAGUGUGGCAGCCA
Amblyraja radiata (thorny skate) is the source of this 1410-nucleotide long non-coding RNA. RefSeq lists it as uncharacterized. Lineage: Eukaryota; Metazoa; Chordata; Chondrichthyes; Rajiformes; Rajidae. The record is from RefSeq and is a predicted model, not a curated record. The transcript has 2 exons.